CGUGUUUACUUUGUAGAUGAUUCCAUAUUGGUGCGCCAUAUAUCCUCUGUGCUGGGAGCAGAUGGUGGAUAGGUGCUGCUCGCCUGAGUGGGACGAGGCGCACAACGCUAGUCGAAAACGACGUCUGAUGAUGCAAUGUCCCUCCCACCACCAAGGCAGCCGCAACCUAGGCCAAUAUGCAGAAGCAUGGUCAGCGUCACAUGGUGGCCAGCCUUGCUCCAUCUUUUCGACCUAUGCUAUGGCCCACAAGGGCAAGGCAACGUCCGACGUCACCUACAACCCGGAUGACGGGCCUGAGGCAUACAACAACCUCGCCAUCUACAACCGCCUUCAUGACUACACCACCAUGGCACAGAAGGUCCAUGGCCCAGAAUACAAUCCGAGGACCGAGCAGAUCGACCCCGAUGUCCUCAUGACGGUCUGAGGAGGCAAGAGACAUGGGCGGUACUGGAUUGUCGAUGGGGCAAUCGACUCGUCGUCCACUCCCGCUCUGUCUCAGGUGCGAGCAAGGAGCACGGACUCGAGUCCAGCCAUACGACCUUGGCAGGACAACUCACAUCAUCGCAUACAGCAACUCGAGACCAAGCUAGAAAUAGAGAGGAGGGAACGUCAGUAGAUGGAGGCGAGGAUGGCUGAGAUGUUCCAAUACAUACAGAGCCUUGGCGACGCACAGGGUUUCGCUCUACCACCUCCAUUGUUUCCUACAGUUGACCCUGCUCUGUUCCAUACUCCUGUGAUUAUCAAAAUUGUAGUUAGAUGUUGGUAAUGCAUCUGGUGUAACAUAUGCAAUCUCUUCCCUGUGGAGGGACAAUCUCGGGCGGCAUCCAACAACCCUCAUGGAUCGCCUAGCCCAUCGCUGCACCAGUCCAACCACCCACCUCGAUGAGACUUAUGUUCUUAGUGUUGAGACUUAUGAGAUACUUGAGACUUCAGAACUUGUUGGUAAUGUUGUGUUGGAUACUUAUGUUUGUGUUGGAUACUUAUGUGAGAACUUGAGACUUAUGAGACUUAUGUUCUUGAGUGUCUUAUGUUUGAUUAAUGGUCUUUGUGAGA
Zea mays is the source of this 1053-nucleotide long non-coding RNA. RefSeq lists it as uncharacterized. The record is from RefSeq and is a predicted model, not a curated record. The transcript has 3 exons. Lineage: Eukaryota; Viridiplantae; Streptophyta; Magnoliopsida; Poales; Poaceae.